RNAcentral lists this ribosomal RNA (595 nucleotides) under Kocuria sp. EGI80140. Its description in RNAcentral is "bacterial SSU rRNA". It matches the Rfam family "Bacterial small subunit ribosomal RNA", at positions 115 to 722 of the family's 1533-position model. Lineage: Bacteria; Bacillati; Actinomycetota; Actinomycetes; Micrococcales; Micrococcaceae. The record is from RNAcentral.
ACGUGAGUAACCUGCCCUUGACUCUGGGAUAAGCCUGGGAAACUGGGUCUAAUACUGGAUACUACCUCCCAUCGCAUGGUGGGUGGUGGAAAGGGUUUUACUGGUUUUGGAUGGGCUCACGGCCUAUCAGCUUGUUGGUGGGGUAAUGGCUCACCAAGGCGACGACGGGUAGCCGGCCUGAGAGGGUGACCGGCCACACUGGGACUGAGACACGGCCCAGACUCCUACGGGAGGCAGCAGUGGGGAAUAUUGCACAAUGGGCGGAAGCCUGAUGCAGCGACGCCGCGUGAGGGAUGACGGCCUUCGGGUUGUAAACCUCUUUCAGUAGGGAAGAAGCGAAAGUGACGGUACCUGCAGAAGAAGCGCCGGCUAACUACGUGCCAGCAGCCGCGGUAAUACGUAGGGCGCAAGCGUUGUCCGGAAUUAUUGGGCGUAAAGAGCUCGUAGGCGGUUUGUCGCGUCUGCUGUGAAAGCCCGGGGCUCAACCCCGGGUCUGCAGUGGGUACGGGCAGACUAGAGUGCAGUAGGGGAGACUGGAAUUCCUGGUGUAGCGGUGAAAUGCGCAGAUAUCAGGAGGAACACCGAUGGCGAAGGC